GACGAACGCUGGCGGCGUGCUUAACACAUGCAAGUCGAACGGAAAGGCCCUGCUUGCAGGGUACUCGAGUGGCGAACGGGUGAGUAACACGUGGGUGAUCUGCCCUGCACUUCGGGAUAAGCCUGGGAAACUGGGUCUAAUACCGGAUAGGAGCCAUUUGUAGUGUGAUGGUUGGAAAGUUUUUUCGGUGUAGGAUGAGCUCGCGGCCUAUCAGCUUGUUGGUGGGGUAAUGGCCUACCAAGGCGGCGACGGGUAGCCGGCCUGAGAGGGUGGACGGCCACAUUGGGACUGAGAUACGGCCCAGACUCCUACGGGAGGCAGCAGUGGGGAAUAUUGCACAAUGGGCGCAAGCCUGAUGCAGCGACGCCGCGUGGGGGAUGACGGCCUUCGGGUUGUAAACUCCUUUCGCUAGGGACGAAGCUUUUUGUGACGGUACCUAGAUAAGAAGCACCGGCUAACUACGUG
This 465-nucleotide ribosomal RNA is filed under the name uncultured bacterium. RNAcentral's name for it is "partial 16S ribosomal RNA". It matches the Rfam family "Bacterial small subunit ribosomal RNA", at positions 28 to 507 of the family's 1533-position model. The record is from RNAcentral.